This 240-nucleotide small RNA is filed under the name Vigna angularis var. angularis. Its description in RNAcentral is "Non-protein coding transcript". The record is from RNAcentral. Lineage: Eukaryota; Viridiplantae; Streptophyta; Magnoliopsida; Fabales; Fabaceae.
UUUAUGAUGACUCGGUGCACCAUGAUUUAGCCGUUGAUUAUUAGUGUAUUAAAAGCCAGAACGUGUCCAUUUCCAAGCCAUUCAACCACAACUUUAGGCUCUCACAGAGAGUAUUAAUGGCGCUGCUGCCACCAUUUUUAGGUGAUGAACAAGUUUGCUAUUGCAACCUGUGACUUCAUUUUCUUUUCAUGAAAGGGACCAAAACCUAAAGCCACACGGCACCAUACAUAGAGACCCUUU